RNAcentral lists this ribosomal RNA (279 nucleotides) under uncultured bacterium. RNAcentral describes it as "partial 16S ribosomal RNA". It matches the Rfam family "Bacterial small subunit ribosomal RNA", at positions 506 to 784 of the family's 1533-position model. The record is from RNAcentral.
UGCCAGCCGCCGCGGUAAUACGGAGGGUGCAAGCGUUGUUCGGAAUUAUUGGGCGUAAAGCGUAUGUAGGUGGUUUUUCAAGUCAGACGUGUAAGCCCUCGGCUCAACCGAGGAAUUGCGUUUGGAACUGAUUGACUUGAGUAUAGGAGAGGAAAGCGGAAUUCCCAGUGUAGCGGUGAAAUGCGUUGAUGUUGGGAAGAACACCGGUGGCGAAGGCGGCUUUCUGGCCUAUUACUGACACUGAGAUACGAAAGCUAGGGGAGCAAAGGGGAUUAGAUA